Non-coding RNA from Penaeus vannamei (Pacific white shrimp), 314 nucleotides. The record is from RefSeq and is a predicted model, not a curated record. Lineage: Eukaryota; Metazoa; Arthropoda; Malacostraca; Decapoda; Penaeidae.
UUUUUCUCCCGAAGACACCAUCGAGCCGUUACGGGCAGACCGGCCAUCAGGGGAGUCGGGGGGAGCAGAGCAUCAAGGGAUUCGGGAACCCAAGAAAUCUGGCUCAGGUUCAUGGACCAAACCGGUGGUGACCAGAGAGACGCCGAGAAAAAGGAGAGUUUGUAGGUUUGGCAUAAUCAUCCUUUGAUUUUGAAUUCGGUCCCCAGCAUCCAACAAAGGCUAAUCUCCCAAACGUUUGCCAAUCAGUCUGGAAGUUCCCUCAUCACUAAAUGCAGAUGAACCGAAUGUUCUGGGAUUGCAUGUUAUUGCGAGAG